This is a long non-coding RNA of Numida meleagris (helmeted guineafowl), 496 nucleotides long. RefSeq lists it as uncharacterized. The transcript is spliced from 3 exons. NCBI's taxonomy places the organism in Eukaryota, Metazoa, Chordata, Aves, Galliformes, Numididae. The record is from RefSeq and is a predicted model, not a curated record.
CUGCUGAUUGAGUUUCCCCAUUCCACACAGGUUUAGGGACAUACAAGGCCCCACAUGGCCAAGGAAAUGCCGGGGAGACAAGAAACCCGAUGGAAAUUCCUGCACAAAUAUCAACAGAUGACCAAAAAUUAUGCAGCUCAGCCCUCCAACAUAGUGUCCAUGCUGCUUCAGAAAAGACCCGGGAAGCUCCCCAAGAUCCCCCUGACAAUACCACAAAAUUUCAUCCAGGUUUGCUGAGACCAGGUCGCACCGCAGGUGCAGGAGCCACACAUACUGAUUGCAGCAGCCCAUUCAACAAAUAGCUAUGGAAAUGGCUGACCCAUGGGCCACCUGGUGAGCAGGGCCAUGACAGGGAGGGCAGCAAGGGGAAGCAGGGCAGGUGGCCGGUCCCAUCAUCCUUUCUAUGUACCUUGUAGAUGGACAUUCCUGCACAAAUGCCAACAGAUGACAAAAAAUUCUGGAGCUCAGCCCUCCAACAUAGUGUCCAUGCUCCUUG